UACGAAGGGGGCUAGCGUUGCUCGGAAUCACUGGGCGUAAAGCGCACGUAGGCGGAUUGUUAAGUCAGGGGUGAAAUCCUGGAGCUCAACUCCAGAACUGCCUUUGAUACUGACGGUCUUGAGUUCGGGAGAGGAUGGUGGAAUUCCCAGUGUAGAGGUGAAAUUCGUAGAUAUUGGGAAGAACACCGAUGGCGAAGGCAGCCAUCUGGACCGACACUGACGCUGAGGCGCGAAAGCGUGGGGAGCAAACAGG
RNAcentral lists this ribosomal RNA (253 nucleotides) under uncultured bacterium. RNAcentral describes it as "partial 16S ribosomal RNA". It matches the Rfam family "Bacterial small subunit ribosomal RNA", at positions 524 to 776 of the family's 1533-position model. The record is from RNAcentral.